AGAGACAGCAGUAGCCGCGGGAAUACAGAGGGUGCGAGCGUUAAUCGGAUUUACUGGGCGUAAAGCGUGCGUAGGCGGCUUCUUAAGUCGGAUGUGAAAUCCCUGAGCUUAACUUAGGAAUUGCAUUCGAUACUGGGAAGCUAGAGUAUGGGAGAGGAUGGUAGAAUUCCGGGUGUAGCGGUGAAAUGCGUAGAGAUCUGGAGGAAUACCGAUGGCGAAGGCAGCCAUCUGGCCUAAUACUGACGCUGAGGUACGAAAGCAUGGGGAGCAAACAGGAUUAGAUACCGUGUAGUCCCUGUCUCUUAUACA
Molecule: ribosomal RNA, 309 nt
Filed under: uncultured bacterium
Lineage: Bacteria
Description: partial 16S ribosomal RNA
Rfam family: Bacterial small subunit ribosomal RNA
Source: RNAcentral